Molecule: ribosomal RNA, 253 nt
Filed under: uncultured bacterium
Lineage: Bacteria
Description: partial 16S ribosomal RNA
Rfam family: Bacterial small subunit ribosomal RNA
Source: RNAcentral
UACGGAGGGUGCGAGCGUUAAUCGGAAUUACUGGGCGUAAAGCGUGCGUAGACGGUUAUGUAAGUCAGGUGUGAAAGCCCCGGGCUCAACCUGGGAAUGGCAUUUGAGACUGCAUAGCUAGGGUGCGGAAGAGGUAAGUGGAACUGCGAGUGUAGAGGUGAAAUUCGUAGAUAUUCGCAAGAACACCAGUGGCGAAGGCGGCUUACUGGUCCGGUUCUGACGCUGAGGCGCGAAAGCGUGGGGAGCAACCAGG